AAACGACAGGGGGAAAUGAAAUGUGUAACUGAAUGAGGUUUAUGUUAAAACGACAGGGGGAAAUGAAAUGUGUAACUGAAUGAGGUUUAUGUUAAAACGACAGGGGGAAAUGAAAUGUGUAACUGAAUGAGGUUUAUGUUAAAACGACAGGGGGAAAUGAAAUGUGUAACUGAAUGAGGUUUAUGUUAAAACGACAGGGGGAAAUGAAAUGUGUAACUGAAUGAGGUUUAUGUUAAAACGACAGGGGGAAAUGAAAUGUGUAACUGAAUGAGGUUUAUGUUAAAACGACAGGGGGAAAUGAAAUGUGUAACUGAAUGAGGUUUAUGUUAAAACGACAGGGGGAAAUGAAAUGUGUAACUGAAUGAGGUUUAUGUUAAAACGACAGGGGGAAAUGAAAUGUGUAACUUAAUGAGGUUUAUGUUAAAACGACAGGGG
Long non-coding RNA from Oncorhynchus keta (chum salmon), 435 nucleotides. RefSeq lists it as uncharacterized. The transcript has 5 exons. Lineage: Eukaryota; Metazoa; Chordata; Actinopteri; Salmoniformes; Salmonidae. The record is from RefSeq and is a predicted model, not a curated record.